AACGCGAAGAACCUUACCAGGAUUUGACAUGCCCUCUAUGAAUUGCUGAAAGGCGAUUCUUCACUUCGGGUGGGAGGUGCACAGGUGCUGCAUGGCUGUCGUCAGCUCGUGUCGUGAGAUGUUGGGUUAAGUCCCGCAACGAGCGCAACCCUCGUCCUCUGUUGCUAACGGGUAAUGCCGAGAACUCUGAGGAAACUGCCGGUGAUAAGCCGGAGGAAGGUGGGGAUGACGUCAAGUCCUCAUGGCCCUUACAUCCUGGGCUACACACGUGUUACAAUGGCGGUGACAAUGGGCUGCGAUCGCGCAAGCGCUAGCCAAUCCCAAAAAGCCGCCUCAGUUUGGAUUGUACUCUGCAACUCGAGUACAUGAAGUUGGAAUUGCUAGUAAUGGCGUGUCAGCAACAACGCCGUGAAUACGUUCCCGGGCCUUGUACACACCGUAGAGAC
Molecule: ribosomal RNA, 446 nt
Filed under: uncultured bacterium
Lineage: Bacteria
Description: bacterial SSU rRNA
Rfam family: Bacterial small subunit ribosomal RNA
Source: RNAcentral